RNAcentral lists this ribosomal RNA (409 nucleotides) under bacterium. RNAcentral's name for it is "partial 16S ribosomal RNA". It matches the Rfam family "Bacterial small subunit ribosomal RNA", at positions 355 to 776 of the family's 1533-position model. The record is from RNAcentral.
UGGGGAAUAUUGCACAAUGGGGGAAACCCUGAUGCAGCAACGCCGCGUGCGGGAUGACGGCCUUCGGGUUGUAAACCGCUUUCAGCCAUGACGAAGCUUUUGUGACGGUAGUGGCAGAAGAAGCACCGGCUAACUACGUGCCAGCAGCCGCGGUGAUACGUAGGGUGCGAGCGUUGUCCGGAAUUAUUGGGCGUAAAGAGCUUGUAGGCGGUUUGUCGCGUCGAAAGUGUAAACUCAGUGCUUAACGCUGAGCCUGCUUUCGAUACGGGCUAACUAGAGGAAGGUAGGGGAGAAUGGAAUUCCCGGUGGAGCGGUGGAAUGCGCAGAUAUCGGGAGGAACACCAGUGGCGAAGGCGGUUCUCUGGACCUUUCCUGACGCUGAGAAGCGAAAGCGUGGGUAGCAAACAGG